Molecule: transfer RNA, 112 nt
Filed under: Thiotrichales bacterium
Lineage: Bacteria; Pseudomonadati; Pseudomonadota; Gammaproteobacteria; Thiotrichales
Description: tRNA-Ser
Source: RNAcentral
GGGAAUAUCCAGAAUUCCUGAUAAAUACUGGUAAUAAAUCAGUAUCUUAUCCGUAUAUACGUGCUGACUUUUAAUCAGGUGGUCGUUGGUUCGAUUCCAACACGGCCCACCA